AUUUUCUUGAAAGUAAACAGUUAAAGAGAUACAUAUAAGUAUAUAACAUGUUUUUCCGGCGAAAUUCACAGCCUUUCCGGCGAGCUACAUCAUGCUCAGUCACACUCGACCCUCAGGUAAACUCUAAAGAUCUUCUUCCUAUCUAGUUGCUAUCACUGGCUCUAUCUAAACUUUGUCUAACAUUUUCGGAAAAACAGUCUAUUUCCCCACAAUAACUAUGACAUCAUGCCAGAUAGAGCCCGAACUAUGACUACAAUCCAGUUGUCCCCGAAAAGAUACUUUUCGAUCUAUAUCUCCCCAAAAUCGAUAGUUUUUAUCUAUUUCCCCAUAUAUUUGGGUUUAAUCGGUUUGCUGACCAAACCCAAUAAAAAUUCACUCAACCCGAUACCAAACCACUUUAUAUGUCAAGCCUCUUUAAAAAAAAAAGAAAAAAA
RNAcentral lists this small RNA (434 nucleotides) under Arabidopsis thaliana (thale cress). RNAcentral describes it as "ATSL284820". The record is from RNAcentral. Lineage: Eukaryota; Viridiplantae; Streptophyta; Magnoliopsida; Brassicales; Brassicaceae.